This 355-nucleotide unclassified non-coding RNA is filed under the name uncultured Leucocoprinus. Its description in RNAcentral is "sequence contains ITS1". The stretch from base 1 to 105 matches the Rfam family "5.8S ribosomal RNA", at positions 50 to 154 of the family's 154-position model. The record is from RNAcentral. Lineage: Eukaryota; Fungi; Basidiomycota; Agaricomycetes; Agaricales; Agaricaceae.
GAAAUGCGAUAAGUAAUGUGAAUUGCAGAAUUCCGUGAAUCAUCGAAUCUUUGAACGCACCUUGCGCUCCUUGGUAUUCCGAGGAGCAUGCCUGUUUGAGUGUCAGUAAAUUCUCAACUCCUCUAGUUAUUGUGACUCAGAUGGAGCUUGGAUGUGGAGGUUUUGCGGGCCCAGCUUACAUUGGGUCGGCUCCUCUGAAAUGCAUUAGCGGAACCGUUUGCGAUCCGUCACAGGUGUGAUAAUUAUCUACGCCAGUGGGUUGCUCUCUGUCUUGUUCAGCUGCCAACCGUCCGCAAGGACAGACUAUUACUGAAAUUUUGACCUCAAAUCAGGUAGGACUACCCGCUGAACUUAA